GCAUAUCAAUAAGCGGAGGAAAAGAAACUAACAAGGAUUCCCCUAGUAACUGCGAGUGAAGCGGGAAAAGCUCAAAUUUAAAAUCUGGCGGUCUCUGGCCGUCCGAGUUGUAGUCUGGAGAAGUGUCUUCCGCGCUGGACCGUGUAUAAGUCUCUUGGAACAGAGCGUCAUAGAGGGUGAGAAUCCCGUCUUUGGCAUGGGCUACCAGUGCUUUGUGAUGCGCUCUCAAAGAGUCGAGUUGUUUGGGAAUGCAGCUCAAAAUGGGUGGUAAAUUCCAUCUAAAGCUAAAUAUUGGCGAGAGACCGAUAGCGAACAAGUACCGUGAGGGAAAGAUGAAAAGCACUUUGGAAAGAGAGUUAAACAGUACGUGAAAUUGCUGAAAGGGAAACGCUUGAAGUCAGUCGCGUUGGCCAGGACUCAGCCUUGCUUUUGCUUGGUGUACUUUCUGGUUGACGGGCCAGCAUCGAUUUUAACCACUGGAAAAAGGCUGAGGGAAUGUGGCACCCUCGGGUGUGUUAUAGCCUUCAGUCACAUACAGUGGUUAGGAUCGAGGACCGCAGCACGCCUUUAUGGCCGGGGUUCGCCCACGUUCGUGCUUAGGAUGCUGGCGUAAUGGCUUUAAACGACCCGUCUUGAAACACGGACCAAGGAGUCUAACAUGCCUGCGAGUGUUUGGGUGGAAAACCCGAGCGCGUAAUGAAAGUGAAAGUUGAGAUCCCUGUCGUGGGGAGCAUCGACGCCCGGACCUGAACUUCGGUGAUGGAUCUGCGGUAGAGCAUGUAUGUUGGGACCCGAAAGAUGGUGAACUAUGCCUGAAUAGGGUGAAGCCAGAGGAAACUCUGGUGGAGGCUCGUAGCGAUUCUGACGUGCAAAUCGAUCGUCAAAUUUGGGUAUAGGGGCGAAAGACUAAUCGAACCAUCUAGUAGCUGGUUCCUGCGA
RNAcentral lists this ribosomal RNA (939 nucleotides) under Rhodofomitopsis lilacinogilva. RNAcentral's name for it is "LSU rRNA". It matches the Rfam family "Eukaryotic large subunit ribosomal RNA", at positions 38 to 963 of the family's 3401-position model. The record is from RNAcentral. Lineage: Eukaryota; Fungi; Basidiomycota; Agaricomycetes; Polyporales; Fomitopsidaceae.